This 32-nucleotide ribosomal RNA is filed under the name Citrus sinensis (sweet orange). RNAcentral's name for it is "partial 28S ribosomal RNA". RNAcentral also lists the same sequence under 30 other names. Lineage: Eukaryota; Viridiplantae; Streptophyta; Magnoliopsida; Sapindales; Rutaceae. The record is from RNAcentral.
GCGACCCCAGGUCAGGCGGGAUUACCCGCUGA